This 566-nucleotide ribosomal RNA is filed under the name uncultured archaeon. Its description in RNAcentral is "bacterial SSU rRNA". It matches the Rfam family "Archaeal small subunit ribosomal RNA", at positions 313 to 879 of the family's 1478-position model. The record is from RNAcentral.
GCGAAUCGCCCUUCGGGGCGCACCAGGCGCGAAAACUUUACAAUGCGGGAAACCGUGAUAAGGGGACACCGAGUGCCGGGUUAAUAUGCUGGCUGUCCAGGUGUGUAAAAUACACCUGUUAGCAAGGGCCGGGCAAGACCGGUGCCAGCCGCCGCGGUAACACCGGCGGCUCGAGUGGUGAUCGUUAUUAUUGGGUCUAAAGGGUCCGUAGCCGGUUUGGUCAGUCCUCCGGGAAAUCUGACGGCUCAACCGCUAGGCUUUCGGGAGAUACUGCCUGGCUUGAAACCGGGAGAGGUAAGAGGUACUUCAGGGGUAGGAGUGAAAUCUUGUAAUCCCUGUGAGACCACCUGUGGCGAAGGCGUCUUACCAGAACGGGUUUGACGGUCAGGGACGAAAGCUGGGGGCACGAACCGGAUUAGAUACCCGGGUAGUCCCAGCCGUAAACGAUGCUCGCUAGGUGUCAGGCAUGGUGCGACCGUGUCUGGUGCCGCAGGGAAGCCGUGAAGCGAGCCACCUGGGAAGUACGGCCGCAAGGCUGAAACUUAAAGGAAUUGGCGGGGGAGCAC